UUCUUGGUCAACAAGCAAAUACAGAGAGCACAAGCUUUGUUUGUUGGAAGGCAACAAAAUGGUUAUUUCACUCAGCAGGCUUGACCUUGUUUGCAGCCCAGUACUCCUGCAUCCAUGGUGAGUUUACGGACCAUCGUUCCCGGUUUAGGUCGGAUCGCAAACUUGUUUGGAAUAGGGUUUUUCGGUUUAGGGCUCCAGGCAUUAGGUUUACCGGAUUGCACAAAGUAAGCUCCAUUCAGGAAGUAAUCUCCUUCUGAUUGCCAAUUCCAAAGUUUCCAAUCAACGUAAGAAGUGUACUCUCUCUUUGUGAUCUGUUUGGCUUGUUCGUUGGGAGGAGCA
Molecule: long non-coding RNA, 339 nt
Filed under: Brassica rapa (field mustard)
Lineage: Eukaryota; Viridiplantae; Streptophyta; Magnoliopsida; Brassicales; Brassicaceae
Description: long non-coding RNA (BRAP_LNC004112)
Source: RNAcentral